GACGAACGCUGGCGGCGUGCUUAACACAUGCAAGUCGAACGGAAAGGCCCUGCUUUUGUGGGGUGCUCGAGUGGCGAACGGGUGAGUAACACGUGAGUAACCUGCCCUUGACUUUGGGAUAACUUCGGGAAACUGGGGCUAAUACCGGAUAGGAGCUCCUGCUGCAUGGUGGGGGUUGGAAAGUUUCGGCGGUUGGGGAUGGACUCGCGGCUUAUCAGCUUGUUGGUGGGGUAGUGGCUUACCAAGGCUUUGACGGGUAGCCGGCCUGGGAGGGUAACAGGCCCCCUUGGGACUGAAAUGCGGCCCAGACCCCUACCGGAGGCAGCAGUGGGGAAUAUUGCACAAUGGGCGGAAGCCUGAUGCAGCAACGCCGCGUGCGGGAUGACGGCCUUCGGGUUGUAAACCGCUUUCGCCUGUGACGAAGCGUGAGUGACGGUAAUGGGUAAAGAAGCACCGGCUAACUACGUG
Molecule: ribosomal RNA, 468 nt
Filed under: uncultured bacterium
Lineage: Bacteria
Description: partial 16S ribosomal RNA
Rfam family: Bacterial small subunit ribosomal RNA
Source: RNAcentral